UGGGGAAUUUUGGACAAUGGGCGAAAGCCUGAUCCAGCAAUGCCGCGUGUGUGAAGAAGGCCUUCGGGUUGUAAAGCACUUUUGUCCGGAAAGAAAUCCUUGGCUCUAAUACAGUCGGGGGAUGACGGUACCGGAAGAAUAAGCACCGGCUAACUACGUGCCAGCAGCCGCGGUAAUACGUAGGGUGCAAGCGUUAAUCGGAAUUACUGGGCGUAAAGCGUGCGCAGGCGGUUUGCUAAGACCGAUGUGAAAUCCCCGGGCUCAACCUGGGAACUGCAUUGGUGACUGGCAGGCUAGAGUAUGGCAGAGGGGGGUAGAAUUCCACGUGUAGCAGUGAAAUGCGUAGAGAUGUGGAGGAAUACCGAUGGCGAAGGCAGCCCCCUGGCAAGUACUGACGCUCACGCACGAAAGCGUGGGGAGCAAACAGGAUUAGAUACCCUGGUAGUCCACGCCCUAAACGAUGUCAACUAGUUGUUGGGAUUCAUUUCCUUAGUAACGUAGCUAACGCGUGAAGUUGACCGCCUGGGGAGUACGGUCGCAAGAUUAAAACUCAAAGGAAUUGACGGGGUCAUAGCUGUUUCCU
RNAcentral lists this ribosomal RNA (583 nucleotides) under uncultured bacterium. Its description in RNAcentral is "partial 16S ribosomal RNA". It matches the Rfam family "Bacterial small subunit ribosomal RNA", at positions 355 to 1375 of the family's 1533-position model. The record is from RNAcentral.